GUGCCAGCAGCCGCGGUAAUACGUAGGUGGCAAGCGUUAUCCGGAAUUAUUGGGCGUAAAGCGCGCGUAGGCGGUUUUUUAAGUCUGAUGUGAAAGCCCACGGCUCAACCGUGGAGGGUCAUUGGAAACUGGAAAACUUGAGUGCAGAAGAGGAAAGUGGAAUUCCAUGUGUAGCGGUGAAAUGCGCAGAGAUAUGGAGGACCACCAGUGGCGAAGGCGACUUUCUGGUCUGUAACUGACGCUGAUGUGCGAAAG
RNAcentral lists this ribosomal RNA (255 nucleotides) under uncultured Staphylococcus sp. RNAcentral describes it as "partial 16S ribosomal RNA". It matches the Rfam family "Bacterial small subunit ribosomal RNA", at positions 505 to 759 of the family's 1533-position model. Lineage: Bacteria; Bacillati; Bacillota; Bacilli; Caryophanales; Staphylococcaceae. The record is from RNAcentral.